This 444-nucleotide ribosomal RNA is filed under the name uncultured bacterium. Its description in RNAcentral is "bacterial SSU rRNA". It matches the Rfam family "Bacterial small subunit ribosomal RNA", at positions 958 to 1400 of the family's 1533-position model. The record is from RNAcentral.
AACGCGAAGAACCUUACCUGGGCUCGAAAUGUAGUGGAAUAGGGUGGAAACAUCCUAGGCUCGCAAGAGACUGCUAUAUAGGUGCUGCAUGGCUGUCGUCAGCUCGUGUCGUGAGAUGUUGGGUUAAGUCCCGCAACGAGCGCAACCCUUAUUGCCAGUUGCCAUCGGGUCAAGCCGGGCACUCUGGCGAAACUGCCUCGGAUAACGGGGAGGAAGGUGGGGAUGACGUCAAGUCCUCAUGGCCUUUAUGUCCAGGGCUACACACGUGCUACAAUGGUCGGUACAAACCGUUGCAAACCCGCGAGGGGGAGCUAAUCGGAAAAAGCCGGCCUCAGUUCGGAUUGGAGUCUGCAACUCGACUCCAUGAAGCUGGAAUCGCUAGUAAUCGCAGAUCAGAACGCUGCGGUGAAUACGUUCCCGGGCCUUGUACACACCGCACUACUA